UACAGAGGGGGCAAGCGUUGUUCGGAAUUACUGGGCGUAAAGGGCGCGUAGGCGGCCACCGCAAGUCGACUGUGAAAUCUCCGGGCUUAACCCGGAAAGGUCAGCCGAUACUGCGGGGCUAGAGUGCAGAAGGGGCAACUGGAAUUCUCGGUGUAGCGGUGAAAUGCGUAGAUAUCGAGAGGAACACCUGCGGCGAAGGCGGGUUGCUGGGCUGACACUGACGCUGAGGCGCGAAAGCUAGGGGAGCGAACGGG
RNAcentral lists this ribosomal RNA (254 nucleotides) under uncultured bacterium. Its description in RNAcentral is "partial 16S ribosomal RNA". It matches the Rfam family "Bacterial small subunit ribosomal RNA", at positions 524 to 776 of the family's 1533-position model. The record is from RNAcentral.